GUACACUCCUACGGGAGGCAGCAGUGGGGAAUUUUGGACAAUGGGCGAAAGCCUGAUCCAGCAAUGCCGCGUGUGUGAAGAAGGCCUUCGGGUUGUAAAGCACUUUUGUCCGGAAAGAAAUCCUUGGCUCUAAUACAGUCGGGGGAUGACGGUACCGGAAGAAUAAGCACCGGCUAACUACGUGCCAGCAGCCGCGGUAAUACGUAGGGUGCGAGCGUUAAUCGGAAUUACUGGGCGUAAAGCGUGCGCAGGCGGUUUGCUAAGACCGAUGUGAAAUCCCCGGGCUCAACCUGGGAACUGCAUUGGUGACUGGCAGGCUAGAGUAUGGCAGAGGGGGGUAGAAUUCCACGUGUAGCAGUGAAAUGCGUAGAGAUGUGGAGGAAUACCGAUGGCGAAGGCAGCCCCCUGGGCCAAUACUGACGCUCAUGCACGAAAGCGUGGGGAGCAAACAGGAUUAGAUACCCUGGUAGUCCCA
RNAcentral lists this ribosomal RNA (475 nucleotides) under uncultured organism. RNAcentral's name for it is "partial 16S ribosomal RNA". It matches the Rfam family "Bacterial small subunit ribosomal RNA", at positions 331 to 797 of the family's 1533-position model. The record is from RNAcentral.